UCCUUAGGACGGGGAUAAACCCGGGAAACUGGGUAUAAUACCCGAUAGUCCUCGGCUGCUGGAAUGCACCGAGUACUAAAGCUCCGGCGCCUAAGGAUGGGUCUGCGGCCUAUCAGGUAGUAGUGGGUGUAGCGUACCUACUAGCCUACGACGGGUACGGGUUGUGAGAGCAAGAGCCCGGAGAUGGAUUCUGAGACACGAAUCCAGGCCCUACGGGGUGCAGCAGGCGCGAAAACUUUACAAUGCUGGCAACAGCGAUAAGGGAACCUCGAGUGCCAGGUUACAAAUCUGGCUGUCGAGAUGCCUAAAAAGCAUUUCAUAGCAAGGGCCGGGCAAGACCGGUGCCAGCCGCCGCGGUAACACCGGCGGCUCGAGUGGUAACCGUUAUUAUUGGGUCUAAAGGGUCUGUAGCCGGCCGGAUAAGUCUCUUGAGAAAUCUGGCAGCUUAACUGUCAGGCUUUCAGGAGAUACUGUCUGGCUCGAGGCCGGGAGAGGUGAGAGGUACUUCAGGGGUAGGGGCGAAAUCUUGUAAUCCUUGAAGGACCACCAGUGGCGAAGGCGUCUCACCAGAACGGACCUGACGGCAAGGGACGAAAGCUAGGGGCACGAACCGGAUUAGAUACCCGGGUAGUCCUAGCCGUAAACGAUACUCGCUAGGUGUCGGCCACGGUGCGACCGUUGUCGGUGCCGUAGGGAAGCCGUGAAGCGAGCCACCUGGGAAGUACGGCCGCAAGGCUGAAACUUAAAGGAAUUGGCGGGGGAGA
RNAcentral lists this ribosomal RNA (764 nucleotides) under uncultured archaeon. Its description in RNAcentral is "bacterial SSU rRNA". It matches the Rfam family "Archaeal small subunit ribosomal RNA", at positions 112 to 877 of the family's 1478-position model. The record is from RNAcentral.